GGGCAGCUGCCCCACACAGGUGGGGCAACUAUCAGCGGCCAUGCCCGGAAUCGCAAGCACGCCUCCAGGAAAUGGCCGUGCGGCCACCCGACGGGACGGCGCCCUUCUACACCCCGCUGGGGGGACAGGAGGUCACCGCUUCGAUGUGAGAGAGCAGCGUCUGAACUGCGCCGCGGCUCUCGCCUCGCAUCUGUGUGCUGCUGCUGGGCCCGGCCUCGUCUUUGUGGGAUUACGCCUGUAGCUCCUGGUUGGACGUGUAGCCAAAGUUUGCGCCUGAGAACCAAACUCUGACAGAAUCCCAUGGCUCCUCUCUUGCCAUCUGUUAGCCGCUGCUUUUCAAGGAGCCGGCACCAUUUCUAAAACUGUAAUAGAGCAUUACGGGCAACAGAGAAACUGGAAAUGUGUAGAUCUUCGAGUAAAUGUGUGGAGAGGAGAGGUGGGAGUGGACUAUGCCAUAACCAGUAACGAGUGGCACUGGCUCCUGAGCUUCAGAACACCCAAAUAUGCUUUCCUGAUGAUGUGUGGGGUUACCAGGAAAUCCGGUAGCUGUAUGCCAGCUGGCUUUCCAUGUCUUCAUGGCUAAGCUUAUCCAUUGCCACCUAGCCCUCACAGGCGUAUUAGCAGAUCUAGAAAUGUCUCUCUUCCCAAAGUCAUUGUACUGCUAUUGAAAAAGUAGUAUGGUAUUUGAUAACACUUCUCAAUUUUGAAGAGAUCACUAAUAGAUUUAUAUGUGGGGAAUUUCUGACUGAAACUGUCGAUGAAACCUCUCUUUGUUAUUUUCAUGUCAGUUGCUGACAUUCACAAAGUGAAGGGUUGAUUCCUGAGUGUGCUGCAAUACCUUUCUUAACUACAUGUUUAACUGAUUUUAAUGCAGAAUAAAGUGUUAGAUUUUUCAGAAAAUUUCGCUGGUUUUCAGUGAUGAGUAAGGGAGAAAUUAGAAAAUAGAGAAGUAGAAGAAAAUACCUUGCUUCAGGGCAUAGAGUGAUUGCUACCUGGGGAAGGGUCAGGAAGGAAAAUUUUUCUCACAUAUGAUAUUGCACAGCUGGCCACGUGUGUUGUUGGGCAGAGGGAAGAGCCAGCAAUAGGAUGCAUCAGCAUUCCUUUUCUUAUCCCCAGAGACUCACUGCACUCUCUAAAAACAUUAAUAAUGAAGCCUUUGAGUGGAUAUUUGCAUUGUAGAAAAGAAAUAUUUAACUACCAUGUAAGCAGUUGUAGGAUGACAAUGGAGCACGCCUUUGGGAAAUAGAAAGGUAGAUGGUGGGUACAUACUAGAAGGCUUGAGGCAACUAAGUAGUACCUGUCUGGAAUAAUAACUUUGUGCUGUGUUCUGCACAACAGCUGUGAAAACAAGGGUGAGUCGUUGCAGUGACCUGGGAGGCAGAGGUGGGGAUACUUCUAGGACGGAGAACUUGAAUGACUCUCAAGAUAUUCCCUCCUAAAUUAUGGUUGUUAGGAUUUUAUAUAUUUUGCAAGAAAAGGUGGAUGGUUUGAUACACUGUUGGGAAUAUUGGAGGUGUAUGAUAUGAUACACUCCCAAUGAUGUAUGAUACACAAAAGCUUUAUGAAACUCAGUAGAGUAAUGCAUUUCAGUCAGCUUGGCGUAUGUGUUUGGGUGGGAUUUAUCUGGAAUUAGGCAGGGGUGAUCUGUUGCACUUGCCAUGUUUUACUGGUUUUAAAUGUGUGGCAUUUUUAGGUUAUGAUACGUGAUAAAUGGGAAUAUUUGGACAAUGGAGGUCUCAUCAUCUGCACAUGGGCUGUGUUGUGCAUGCUAUGCACACUUUCCUUCAAGCUUUCAAUUUAAGUUGUGCCACAUCCUCACCAUUUCACUUUCUCAUGCUCUAUUAGAAGUGCCUGCAAAAUCCCCUCACUCUCAAGUUUUCCAGACACUGUCAACAAAGGGAAAGUGUAAGCGCAAGUCAUGAAAUGUAAACAGUUGUUGGUUGGUUUCCAAAACAGCAAAAAUGUAAAAAACUACUGUACAGAUUUGGAAAGCAGCCCCAUAGUGUUUUUUCUUCAAGUCUUGGGAGGUCCUGGCACUGAUAAAUAUUUGCCAGCUUUCUUAUGAUGUUUUUGCAAGCUGGGUUUGCUACUAUGCUAAAUUUGAUUAGCAUGAACAGACUGUAUGAGCCCACGUAUCUAAUUAGCUGCGUGGUUCAGAGAAGGUUACGAUGAGGUUGGGCUGGUGUUUGAACUUCUACAGGCAGCUUUUUAACAACCACCCCCAGUUUGUGUGGUGAAACAGAACCUUUUUUUUUUUUCUUACGGUUGCCAUGAAUUGUGGUGCCUGGCUUCCUGCGAUUCAUGUGGCUGGAAGGGCACAGCUGCUGUUCAGGAAUGACAGAGAAGGCGGCCCUGACUUGAAUGUCUGUUAAGAGGGUACUUUGUGUAACUGGAGUGUGCUUUUAGAUUCAGAUUCAUGAUUCAGACAUGCUCUAAGUUUUCUAUGCAGUUAAUUCAAUGAAUGUAAGGUGGUUGGAGAGGUAACAAUGUUUCUUCCUACUAAUUUGCACUUUCAAGGUACUGUCUCCUUGUACUUUAUACAUAACUGCAGUACUUUUAAACUGCAUUGAUUAAGGUUCUACUGUUAAGUAAAGCCUUUUAAGAUUUUCAUUGAUAUCAAAAAGCCUUUAUGGGACCUUACUAAAGGAAGAAAAAAACCACAAUGAGCUUUUAACUGAAGAGAAAAUGUCUUGCUAAGAUUUGUCAAGAUAACAAACUUGCACUGGUUUUGUGAUUUAAUUCCUUGCAAGAUCAAAAUGGAGUGUGCGCUUUGUAAUGACACCAGACAAUGCUUGUUUUUUCAAUAAACUCUUUCUUCUG
This is a long non-coding RNA of Cygnus olor (mute swan), 2820 nucleotides long. RefSeq lists it as uncharacterized. The transcript is spliced from 2 exons. Lineage: Eukaryota; Metazoa; Chordata; Aves; Anseriformes; Anatidae. The record is from RefSeq and is a predicted model, not a curated record.